Molecule: transfer RNA, 75 nt
Filed under: Rickettsiales bacterium
Lineage: Bacteria; Pseudomonadati; Pseudomonadota; Alphaproteobacteria; Rickettsiales
Description: tRNA-Thr
Rfam family: tRNA
About the family: Transfer RNA (tRNA) molecules are approximately 80 nucleotides in length. Their secondary structure includes four short double-helical elements and three loops (D, anti-codon, and T loops).
Source: RNAcentral
GCCGGUGUGGCUCAGUGGUAGAGCACUCCCUUGGUAAGGGAGAGGUCGCGGGUCCGAUUCCCUCCACCGGCACCA